GAUGAAGAACGUAGCGAAAUGCGAUAAGUAAUGUGAAUUGCAGAAUUCCGUGAAUCAUCGAAUCUUUGAACGCACAUUGCGCCCCCUGGCAUUCCGGGGGGCAUGCCUGUCCGAGCGUCAUUUCUGCCCUCAAGCACGGCUUGUGUGUUGGGUGUGGUCCCCCCGGGGACCUGCCCGAAAGGCAGCGGCGACGUCCGUCUGGUCCUCGAGCAUAUGGGGCUCUGUCACUCGCUCGGGAAGGACCUGCGGGGGUUGGUCACCACUAUAUUUUACCACGGUUGACCUCGGAUCAGGUAGGAGUUACCCGCUGAACUUAAGCAUAUCAAUAAGCGGAGGA
This 337-nucleotide unclassified non-coding RNA is filed under the name soil metagenome. RNAcentral's name for it is "partial contains 5.8S ribosomal RNA, internal transcribed spacer 2, and large subunit ribosomal RNA". The stretch from base 1 to 120 matches the Rfam family "5.8S ribosomal RNA", at positions 35 to 154 of the family's 154-position model. The record is from RNAcentral.